RNAcentral lists this ribosomal RNA (119 nucleotides) under Cebus imitator (Panamanian white-faced capuchin). Lineage: Eukaryota; Metazoa; Chordata; Mammalia; Primates; Cebidae. The record is from RNAcentral.
GUCUACAGCCGUAAGCACCUGAACACGCCUGAUCUUGUCUGAUCUUACAAGUUAAGCAGGGAUUGGCCUGGUUAGUACUUAUAUGAGAGACUGCCUGGGAAUACUGGGUGCUGUAGGCU